AACGGACGCUGGCGGCAGGCCUAACACAUGCGAGUCGAGCGAGGACUUCGGUCCUAGCGGCGGACGGGUGAGUAACGCGUGGGAACGUGCCCUUUGCUUCGGAAUAGCCCUGGGAAACUGGGAGUAAUACCGGAUGAGCCCUUUGGGGGAAAGAUUUAUCGGCGAAGGAUCGGCCCGCGUUGGAUUAGGUAGUUGGUGGGGUAAUGGCCUACCAAGCCGACGAUCCAUAGCUGGUUUGAGAGGAUGAUCAGCCACACUGGGACUGAGACACGGCCCAGACUCCUACGGGAGGCAGCAGUGGGGAAUCUUAGACAAUGGGGGAAACCCUGAUCUAGCCAUGCCGCGUGAGCGAUGAAGGCCUUAGGGUUGUAAAGCUCUUUCAGCUGGGAAGAUAAUGACGGUACCAGCAGAAGAAGCCCCGGCUAACUCCGUG
Molecule: ribosomal RNA, 433 nt
Filed under: uncultured bacterium
Lineage: Bacteria
Description: partial 16S ribosomal RNA
Rfam family: Bacterial small subunit ribosomal RNA
Source: RNAcentral